RNAcentral lists this ribosomal RNA (449 nucleotides) under uncultured bacterium. Its description in RNAcentral is "bacterial SSU rRNA". It matches the Rfam family "Bacterial small subunit ribosomal RNA", at positions 329 to 793 of the family's 1533-position model. The record is from RNAcentral.
UGCCAGACUCCUACGGGAGGCAGCAGUGGGGAAUAUUGCACAAUGGGGGAAACCCUGAUGCAGCGACGCCGCGUGAGCGAUGAAGUAUUUCGGUAUGUAAAGCUCUAUCAGCAGGGAAGAAAAUGACGGUACCUGACUAAGAAGCCCCGGCUAACUACGUGCCAGCAGCCGCGGUAAUACGUAGGGGGCAAGCGUUAUCCGGAUUUACUGGGUGUAAAGGGAGCGUAGACGGCUGUGCAAGCCAGAUGUGAAAGCCCGGGGCGCAACCCCGGGAGUGCAGUUGGAACUGUGUGGCUGGAGUGUCGGAGAGGCAGGCGGAAUUCCUAGUGGAGCGGUGAAAUGCGUAGAUAUUAGGAGGAACACCAGUGGCGAAGGCGGCCUGCUGGACGAUGACUGACGUUGAGGCUCGAAAGCGUGGGGAGCAAACAGGAUUAGAUACCCCAGUAAAG